CAGAACGAACGCUGGUGGCGUGUCUUAUACAUGCAAGUCGAGCGGUCCGCAAGGAUAGCGGCGAACGGGUGAGUAACGCGUAAGCAAUCUGCCCCGCAUAUUGGGAUAGCCGUGCCAACGCGCGGAUAAUACCGAAUAACGUGGCCCCGGACAUCCGGGGUUGACGAAAGAUUCAUCGAUGCGGGAUGAGCUUGCGUCCGAUUAGCUAGUUGGCGGGCAACGGCCCACCAAGGCGACGAUCGGUAGCCGGCCUGAGAGGGUGAUCGGCCACAUUGGGACUGAGAUACGGCCCAGACUCCUACGGGAGGCAGCAGUAGGGAAUAUUGCACAAUGGGGGAAACCCUGAUGCAGCAACGCCAACCGUGUGGGAAGAAGCAUUUCGGUGUGUAAACCACUGUCGUGAGGGAAUAAUACGCGAUUUCGGUCGCGGGAGAAUGUACCUCGAAAGGAAGCACCGGCAAACUUCGUGCCAGCAGCCGC
RNAcentral lists this ribosomal RNA (480 nucleotides) under uncultured bacterium. Its description in RNAcentral is "bacterial SSU rRNA". It matches the Rfam family "Bacterial small subunit ribosomal RNA", at positions 25 to 518 of the family's 1533-position model. The record is from RNAcentral.